GACCAGUUGGCUCAGUUGGUUAGAGCACGGUGCUCAUAACACCGAGGUCGCUGGUUCGAGUCCUGUAUGGGCCA
This is a non-coding RNA of Rhinolophus ferrumequinum (greater horseshoe bat), 74 nucleotides long. The record is from the annotation of a RefSeq genome assembly. NCBI's taxonomy places the organism in Eukaryota, Metazoa, Chordata, Mammalia, Chiroptera, Rhinolophidae.